GGGGUUGUGGCUCAGCCGUAGAGCGCUCACCUAGAUUGUGCGAGGCCCUGGGUUCGAUCCUCAGUACCACA
This 71-nucleotide transfer RNA is filed under the name Marmota monax (woodchuck). Its description in RNAcentral is "tRNA.Ser". Lineage: Eukaryota; Metazoa; Chordata; Mammalia; Rodentia; Sciuridae. The record is from RNAcentral.